GUAUAAGAGACAGCAGUAGCCGCGGUAAUACGGAGGGCGCGAGCGUUACCCGGAUUUACUGGGCGUAAAGGGCGUGUAGGCGGCCUGGGGCGUCCCAUGUGAAAGGCCACGGCUCAACCGUGGAGGAGCGUGGGAUACGCUCAGGCUAGAGGGUGGGAGAGGGUGGUGGAAUUCUCGGAGUAGCGGUGAAAUGCGCAGAUACCGGGAGGAACGCCGAUGGCGAAGGCAGCCACCUGGUCCACUUCUGACGCUGAGGCGCGAAAGCGUGGGGAGCAAACCGGAUUAGAUACCCCAGUAGUCCCUGUCUCUUAUAC
This 314-nucleotide ribosomal RNA is filed under the name uncultured bacterium. RNAcentral's name for it is "partial 16S ribosomal RNA". It matches the Rfam family "Bacterial small subunit ribosomal RNA", at positions 495 to 807 of the family's 1533-position model. The record is from RNAcentral.